AGAGUUUGAUCCUGGCUCAGAUUGAACGCUGGCGGCAGGCCUAACACAUGCAAGUCGAGCGGAAACGGCGGUAUUGAAGCUUCGGUGGAUUUACUGGACGUCGAGCGGCGGACGGGUGAGUAACGGCUGGGAACCUGCCCUGACGAGGGGGAUAACCGUUGGAAACGACGGCUAAUACCGCAUAAUGUCUACGGACCAAAGGUGGCCUCUACAUGUAAGCUAUCGCGUUGGGAUGGGCCCAGUUAGGAUUAGCCAGUUGGUAAGGUAAUGGCUUACCAAGGCAACGAUCCUUAGCUGGUUUGAGAGGAUGAUCAGCCACACUGGGACUGAGACACGGCCCAGACUCCUACGGGAGGCAGCAGUGGGGAAUAUUGCACAAUGGGGGAGACCCUGAUGCAGCCAUGCCGCGUGUGUGAAGAAGGCCUUCGGGUUGUAAAGCACCUUCAGCAGUGAGGAAGGUCGUGUACUUAAUACGUGCACGGCUUGACGUUAGCUGCAGAAGAAGCACCGGCUAACUCCGUGCCAGCAGCCGCGGUAAUACGGAGGGUGCGAGCGUUAAUCGGAAUUACUGGGCGUAAAGCGCAUGCAGGCGGUUUGUUAAGUCAGAUGUGAAAGCCCGGGGCUCAACCUCGGAACCGCAUUUGAAACUGGCAGGCUAGAGUCUUGUAGAGGGGGGUAGAAUUUCAGGUGUAGCGGUGAAAUGCGUAGAGAUCUGAAGGAAUACCAGUGGCGAAGGCGGCCCCCUGGACAAAGA
RNAcentral lists this ribosomal RNA (754 nucleotides) under uncultured bacterium. RNAcentral's name for it is "bacterial SSU rRNA". It matches the Rfam family "Bacterial small subunit ribosomal RNA", at positions 8 to 739 of the family's 1533-position model. The record is from RNAcentral.